GUUUCUAUAGUUUAAGAAAAAUAAUAAAUUGCAAAUUUAAAGAUAAGUAUAUUUAGAAAUU
RNAcentral lists this transfer RNA (61 nucleotides) under Andrena nigroaenea. RNAcentral describes it as "tRNA-Cys". The record is from RNAcentral. Lineage: Eukaryota; Metazoa; Arthropoda; Insecta; Hymenoptera; Andrenidae.